GAGUUUGAUCCUGGCUCAGAACGAACGCUGGCGGCGUGCUUAACACAUGCAAGGCGAACGCGAACGUUUUCUUCGGAAAACUAGUAGAGUGGCGCACGGGUGAGUAACGCGUAAGUAACCUACCCUCGCAUCUGGGAUAACCCACCGAAAGGUGUGCUAAUACCUGAUACGUCUGGAAUUAUACUUUGAAUUCAGAGAAAGGUGAGCGUUGUUCGGAAUUACUGGGCGUAAAGCGCGCGUAGGCGGCUAUAUAAGUCAGAUGUGAAAGCCCGCGGCUCAACCGUGGAAGUGCAUUUGAAACUGUGUAGCUUGAGUACUGGAGGGGGUAGUGGAAUUCCCGGUGUAGAGGUGAAAUUCGUAGAUAUCGGGAGGAAUACCGGCGGCGAAGGCGACUACCUGGCCAGAUACUGACCCUGAGGUGCCAAAGCGUGGGGAGCAAACAGGAUUAGAUACCCUGGUAGUC
Molecule: ribosomal RNA, 463 nt
Filed under: uncultured bacterium
Lineage: Bacteria
Description: bacterial SSU rRNA
Rfam family: Bacterial small subunit ribosomal RNA
Source: RNAcentral